This 253-nucleotide ribosomal RNA is filed under the name uncultured bacterium. RNAcentral describes it as "partial 16S ribosomal RNA". It matches the Rfam family "Bacterial small subunit ribosomal RNA", at positions 524 to 776 of the family's 1533-position model. The record is from RNAcentral.
UACAGAGGGUGCAAGCGUUAAUCGGAAUUACUGGGCGUAAAGGGCUCGUAGGCGGCCAACUAAGUCGGAUGUGAAAUCCCCAGGCUUAACCUGGGAACUGCAUCCGAUACUGGAUGGCUUGAAUCCGGGAGAGGGAUGCGGAAUUCCAGGUGUAGCGGUGAAAUGCGUAGAUAUCUGGAGGAACACCGGUGGCGAAGGCGGCAUCCUGGACCGGCAUUGACGCUGAGGAGCGAAAGCCAGGGGAGCAAACGGG